RNAcentral lists this ribosomal RNA (253 nucleotides) under uncultured bacterium. Its description in RNAcentral is "partial 16S ribosomal RNA". It matches the Rfam family "Bacterial small subunit ribosomal RNA", at positions 524 to 776 of the family's 1533-position model. The record is from RNAcentral.
UACGAAGGGGGCUAGCGUUGCUCGGAUUCACUGGGCGUAAAGGGUGCGUAGGUGGUGAGGUAAGUCGGAUGUGAAAGCUCGGAGCUCAACUCCGAAAUGGCAUUGGAAACUACCUUGCUCGAGGGUUGGAGGGGGGACUGGAAUACUUGGUGUAGCAGUGAAAUGCGUAGAUAUCAAGUGGAACACCAGUGGCGAAGGCGAGUCCCUGGACAACUCCUGACACUGAGGCACGAAAGCUAGGGGAGCAAACAGG